RNAcentral lists this ribosomal RNA (253 nucleotides) under uncultured prokaryote. Its description in RNAcentral is "partial 16S ribosomal RNA". It matches the Rfam family "Bacterial small subunit ribosomal RNA", at positions 524 to 776 of the family's 1533-position model. The record is from RNAcentral.
UACAGAGGUCUCAAGCGUUGUUCGGAUUCAUUGGGCGUAAAGGGCGCGUAGGCGGCGAGGUAAGUCGGGUGUGAAAUCUCAGAGCUCAACUCUGAAACUGCACUCGAUACUGCUUUGCUAGAGGACUGGAGAGGAGAUUGGAAUUCACGGUGUAGCAGUGAAAUGCGUAGAUAUCGGAAGGAACACCAGUGGCGAAAGCGGCUUCCUGGUCCAGCACCGACGUUCAGGCACGAAAGCGUGGGGAGCAAACAGG